CUUUUCCUCUAGAAUUUGGUGUUGUUCAAUUGAUUGCUCUGUUUCAGUGAAGCAAACUGCAUUUCCAGAUUUAGAGCGCACCAUCUGUUAUAGAGUCCAUCAGUGAUUCUGAAGCCAUGUGAUGAUCUAGAUCCAUGCUAUGCAAUGUGAGAUCCAGUGAUAAGCUGCAUCAGCAUCCCCUACAAGCUUGCUAGAAUCAUGGACCCUCUCCAGACCCUACUAAAUCAAAAUCUGCACUUGACCAGGAUCCCAAAAAGAUCUAUAAGUUCCCCAGCACAUCAAUACUUGAGAUGCUUGAGAAGCACUGCUCUGGAUCAAUGAUUUUUGUUUCCUUCCUUCUCCUUUCCCGUCCUCUUUCCUCUCUUCAUCUUUCUUUCUCAAACAGAGCAUUUUUAAAAAUAAAAGUUUAUAGGGAACUUGGUAUAUGAAACUGUUAAUGUGACAUUUUAUUCCUACAAUUUCUUGUAUGAAUUCAAAUAAAAAAAUCACUUUUAAAAUAAUAUUAUAAUAAUAGUAGGGUCAUAAUGAUAUGUUUGAUAUUGGUUACUGGCUUUUAUGGUUAGCAGUUAUAGCAUUUAAUUCAUUAAAUGUGUCAGCAUUCAGUUUAUUUAUAUUAUUUGUUUUGAUUAAAAAGUCAAGAAAAUUCCACUCAUUUGAAACCAUAAUUACAUGUAUUAACUUUUUUUUUUUUUAAAAAAACCCUUGUUUUAUAGUGUUAAGAUUAACUGAACUAAAAACCUGAAAGUGAAUUAUUAGGGCACUAUUUUGUUAUAAAUUGCAAACAAUAUCUUAUAAUUGGUAACAUUCUUUAUUGUAAUUGUAAAAGUCAAACGACAAAAGGCCAAAAUGUAUCAUAUAAAGGUAAUGCAGUAAUAUGCGAUUAUUAAAACAUGAUGGAC
Molecule: long non-coding RNA, 899 nt
Filed under: Homo sapiens (human)
Lineage: Eukaryota; Metazoa; Chordata; Mammalia; Primates; Hominidae
Description: HSALNT0264123
Source: RNAcentral